RNAcentral lists this ribosomal RNA (497 nucleotides) under uncultured bacterium. RNAcentral describes it as "partial 16S ribosomal RNA". It matches the Rfam family "Bacterial small subunit ribosomal RNA", at positions 28 to 507 of the family's 1533-position model. The record is from RNAcentral.
GAUGAACGCUGGCGGCGUGCCUAAUACAUGCAAGUCGAGCGAACAGACGAGGAGCUUGCUCCUCUGACGUUAGCCGCGGACGGGUGAGUAACACGUGUAUAACCUACCUAUAAGACUGGUAAAACUUCGGGAAACCGGAGCUAAUCCCGGAGAAUAUAUUGAACCGCGUGGUUCAAUAGUGAAAGACGGCUUUGCUGUCACUUAUCGAUGCAUCUGCGCCGCAUUAGCUAGUUGGUAAGUUAACGGCUUACCAAGGCAACGAUGCGUAGCCGACCUGAGAGAGGGAUCGGCCACAUGGGAACUGAGACACGGUCCUGACUCCUACGGGAGGGAGCAGUAGGGAAUCUGACGCAGUGGGCGAAAGCCUGACGGAGCAACGCCGAGUGAGUGAUGAAGGUCUUCGGAUCGUAAAACUCUGUUAUUAGGGAAGAACAAAUGUGUAAGUAACUAUGCACGUCUUGACGGUACCUAAUCAGAAAGCCACGGCUAACUACGUG